RNAcentral lists this ribosomal RNA (253 nucleotides) under uncultured bacterium. RNAcentral describes it as "partial 16S ribosomal RNA". It matches the Rfam family "Bacterial small subunit ribosomal RNA", at positions 524 to 776 of the family's 1533-position model. The record is from RNAcentral.
UACGAACUGUGCAAGCGUUAUUCGGAUUCACUGGGCUUAAAGGGUGCGUAGGCGGCCAUGUAAGUCGGGUGUGAAAUCCCCCGGCUUAACCGGGGAACUGCGCCCUAAACUGUGUGGCUUGAGUGAGAUAGGGGUGUGUGGAACUUCCGGUGGAGCGGUGAAAUGUGUUGAUAUCGGAAGGAACGCCGGUGGCGAAAGCGACACACUGGGUCUCAACUGACGCUGAGGCGCGAAAGCGAGGGGAGCGAACGGG